CAGGCCUAACACAUGCAAGUCGAACGCGCCCUUCGGGGUGAGUGGCAGACGGGUGAGUAACGCGUGGGAACAUACCUUUCGGACUGGAAUAACUGGGGGAAACUUCAGCUAAGACCGGAUACGCCCUAUGGGGGAAUGAUUUAUCGCCGAAAGAUUGGCCCGCGUCCGAUUAGCUAGUUGGUGUUGGUAAUGGCUCACCAAGGCGACGAUCGGUAGCUGGUCUGAGAGGAUGGCCAGCCACAUUGGGACUGAGACACGGCCCAAACUCCUACGGGAGGCAGCAGUGGGGAAUAUUGGACAAUGGGCGCAAGCCUGAUCCAGCCAUGCCGCGUGAGUGAUGACGGCCUUAGGGUUGUAAAGCUCUUUCGCACGCGACGAUAAUGACGGUAGCGUGAGAAGAAGCCCCGGCUAACUUCGUGCCAGCAGCCGCGGUAAU
This 436-nucleotide ribosomal RNA is filed under the name uncultured bacterium. RNAcentral's name for it is "bacterial SSU rRNA". It matches the Rfam family "Bacterial small subunit ribosomal RNA", at positions 43 to 524 of the family's 1533-position model. The record is from RNAcentral.